CCUACGGGCGGCAGCAGUCGAGAAUCAUUCACAAUGGGGGAAACCCUGAUGGUGCGACGCCGCGUGGGGGAAUGAAGGUCUUCGGAUUGUAAACCCCUGUCAUGUGGGAGCAAAUUAAAAAGAUAGUACCACAAGAGGAAGAGACGGCUAACUCUGUGCCAGCAGCCGCGGUAAUACAGAGGUCUCAAGCGUUGUUCGGAAUCACUGGGCGUAAAGCGUGCGUAGGCUGUUUCGUAAGUCGGGUGUGAAAGGCGCGGGCUCAACCCGCGGACGGCACAUGAUACUGCGAGACUAGAGUAAGGGAGGGGGAAGCGGAAUUCUCGGUGUAGCAGUGAAAUGCGUAGAUAUCGAGAGGAACACUCGUGGCGAAGGCGGGUUCCUGGACAUUAACUGACGCUGAGGCACGAAGGCCAGGGGAGCGAAAGGGAUUAGAUACCCCUGUAGUC
RNAcentral lists this ribosomal RNA (446 nucleotides) under uncultured bacterium. Its description in RNAcentral is "partial 16S ribosomal RNA". It matches the Rfam family "Bacterial small subunit ribosomal RNA", at positions 338 to 795 of the family's 1533-position model. The record is from RNAcentral.